AUGGUGCAUCUCAACAGACUUCACCUCAGUGGUCAGGCCAGUAGGACCAAAGGUGACAACCAUGCCUGGCUUGAUGACUCCAGUCUCAACACGCCCCACUGGCACAGUUCCAAUGCCACCAAUCUUGUACACGUCCUGAAGGGGAAGACGCAGGGGCUUGUCGGAGGGCCUCUUGGGCUCAUUGAUCUGGUCCAGGGCCUCAAGAAGGGUGGGGCCCUUGUACCAGUCAAGGUUGGUGGACCUCUCAAUCAUGUUGUCGCCCUCGAACCCAGAGAUGGGAACGAAGGGAACCUUGUCAGGGUUGUAACCGACCUUCUUCAGGUAUGA
Molecule: ribosomal RNA, 327 nt
Filed under: Triticum aestivum (bread wheat)
Lineage: Eukaryota; Viridiplantae; Streptophyta; Magnoliopsida; Poales; Poaceae
Description: partial small subunit ribosomal RNA
Source: RNAcentral